This 75-nucleotide transfer RNA is filed under the name Pyrinomonadaceae bacterium. RNAcentral's name for it is "tRNA-Phe". It matches the Rfam family "tRNA". Rfam says of the family: Transfer RNA (tRNA) molecules are approximately 80 nucleotides in length. Their secondary structure includes four short double-helical elements and three loops (D, anti-codon, and T loops). The record is from RNAcentral. Lineage: Bacteria; Pseudomonadati; Acidobacteriota; Blastocatellia; Blastocatellales; Pyrinomonadaceae.
GGUUGGAUAGCUGAGAUGGAUUAGCGAUUCCCUGAAAAGGAAUAGAGGUUGGUUCGAUUCCAACUCCGACCACCA